UCCCUCUUAGCUCAGUUGGUAGAGCGCGUCACUAGUAUGGUUUCGGUACAUGAUAAGUUAUGACGAGGUCAGUUGUUCAAGUCGGCUAGAGGGAA
This is a non-coding RNA of Armillaria borealis, 95 nucleotides long. The record is from the annotation of a GenBank genome assembly. Lineage: Eukaryota; Fungi; Basidiomycota; Agaricomycetes; Agaricales; Physalacriaceae.